UCCAUGCUGCCUUUUAUAAUUUCUCUCCGCUUCCUGUUUUCUAGUGCCGGCCUGAUUGGCUUCCUCUUCAUGCUGAGGGCUCUGGUAGCUGCAAACUUCAAUACCAUCUACAUUUACACAGCUGAGGUCUACCCCACCACGAUGCGCGCUUUGGGGAUGGGAACCAGCGGCUCCCUGUGUCGCAUUGGUGCAAUGGUGGCGCCAUUUAUAUCCCAGGUUCUUAUGAGUGCAUCAAUACUGGGGGCCCUGUGUCUCUUCUCAUCUGUCUGUGUUGUAUGCGCCAUUUCUGCAUUUACUCUCCCCAUUGAAACCAAAGGACGGGCCCUCCAGCAAAUUAAAUGAAGACCUGCAAAGCUAUGUCUACUAGAGGAGAAAAAUGAAUUCUAUCUUCAGAACUGUGGUGCAUUUUUUUAAAACUUGGUUUUAUUUCUGUAUGCUACUCGGUAAUUAGUAAAGUGAUUUUUUUUUUAAAGGCCUAUAUGGGAAUGGGGUAGGUAACUGUAUACUGAUCUCUUCCUUGAGGGACAAUAUAUAAAGUACUUUUAUAAAAUAUAAUUUAAACUUUCAAAGGGGUGUUAGAGGGAGAUGCUGGGGGGAAGAUGGCUUUUCUUCCUUGAAAUCAAGUCUGUAAACCUCUAUAUGAAUAAAUACUAAAUUUUAAACU
RNAcentral lists this small RNA (664 nucleotides) under Pongo abelii (Sumatran orangutan). RNAcentral's name for it is "retained intron". Lineage: Eukaryota; Metazoa; Chordata; Mammalia; Primates; Hominidae. The record is from RNAcentral.